GGGCCCGCACAAGCGGUGGAGCAUGUGGUUUAAUUCGAUGAUACGCGAGGAACCUUACCAGGGCUUAAAUGGGAAAUGACAGGGGCAGAGACGCCCCCUUCUUCGGACAUUUUUCAAGGUGCUGCAUGGUUGUCGUCAGCUCGUGCCAUGAGGUGUCAGGUUAAGUCCUAUAACGAGCGCAACCCCUACCGUUAGUUGCCAGCGUGUAAUGACGGGGACUCUAACGGAACUGCCGGUGCAAACCGUGAGGAAGGUGGGGACGACGUCAAAUCAUCACGGCCCUUACGUCCUGGCCACACACGUGCUACAAUGGUAGGUACAGAGGGAAGCCAUUGUAGCACGUGUGUA
RNAcentral lists this ribosomal RNA (348 nucleotides) under uncultured bacterium. Its description in RNAcentral is "bacterial SSU rRNA". It matches the Rfam family "Bacterial small subunit ribosomal RNA", at positions 917 to 1271 of the family's 1533-position model. The record is from RNAcentral.